UUAUAACCAUAUUAAUUACGCCUCUUCGGCUUCUCCGUGGUAAAUGCUCAUUCUAAAUACACAUCUCAUCCACACAUUACACCUCUUUGUAAAUGUUUUUGCAUAAUAACACUUCUCAUCGUCUUCUUCUCCCACUUUCAGCGGUAAAUUAAAUCUCCUCCGUUUUAUUUACUUCUUCCUCCAAAUUCACAAAUUUCCUUCCUUGGACCCGUGCUUCAUUGGUUACAUAUGAUGAUCAACCUUUGAAAAUUAAUAGCCAAAGGAAGAUUAUAUCGUCUCUAUCCAUUCAUUAUCCCAAGCACUGCUGAGAUGUCACCAUCUUUGGUUAAGAAAGCUUAAUAAUGAGGUCUUAAUGCAAUUGAGACCUAAAUCUUAGAAUGCCCACGCGCCACUAUAUCGUCAAUUUCUUAUAAUCAAUUUUAAGAAAAAACUCAGUUUCUCUAUUCUGUAAUAAUAUAAUUUUUACCGGUAGUUAGUAGUUUGAUUUUGUGCGGAAUUUGCAUAACGUAAGGUUCAUCAAGUUGAUAAAAGAUGAAUGGCUUUAUGCAAGAUUGAUAACUAGAAUCUUAAUUAUGUUUGUGCUUAAUGAUAUUACAUGUAAAUUUAAUUGGUGUUUCAGAAAUCUUUAUUCACGAAGUUUUAUCUGAAUUUUUGUUGUUGAAUUCUAUUAAUGCUCCAACUGAAAAGUUUUCUAAUCAGUUUUCUUGAAUUUGAUUGAGUUUUGUCGCGGGGUCUGGGGGUGUGGUUUUC
This is a non-coding RNA of Nicotiana tabacum (common tobacco), 750 nucleotides long. Lineage: Eukaryota; Viridiplantae; Streptophyta; Magnoliopsida; Solanales; Solanaceae. The record is from RefSeq and is a predicted model, not a curated record.